CCACUCCCAAUUCAAUCCCAACUUCCAGCUCGGCGGCUCCCAAUUCCAAACUUUGAAGCAAAACCCAAUAAUUUGCUCCAUUCAUGACGACCAUUCUUGACUCGAUUCCAUUCGCCAGCGAUUCAACCACCUCAAACGAAAAACAAACAGCAAUAUCGUUCUCCACUAACUUCAAAUGUCUGCGUCUACCACUAUUUAGAAUGAAAGGAUCGGAUUGCUCUUAAAUAAAUGCAAUGUUUGGUUUAAAAAAAAUACUGUCAAUGAGAUUUCUGUUGAAUUCUUUGGGCGUCUAAAGUUAGCGAAUUCCCC
RNAcentral lists this long non-coding RNA (309 nucleotides) under Olea europaea (common olive). RNAcentral describes it as "long non-coding RNA (OEUR_LNC007513)". Lineage: Eukaryota; Viridiplantae; Streptophyta; Magnoliopsida; Lamiales; Oleaceae. The record is from RNAcentral.